GACAAACGCUGGCGGCGUGCCUAAUACAUGCAAGUUGAGCGAUGAAGAUUGGUGCUUGCACCAAUUUGAAGAGCAGCGAACGGGUGAGUAACGCGUGGGGAAUCUGCCUUUGAGCGGGGGACAACAUUUGGAAACGAAUGCUAAUACCGCAUAACAACUUUAAACAUAAGUUUUAAGUUUGAAGGAUGCAAUUGCAUCACUCAAAGAUGAUCCCGCGUUGUAUUAGCUAGUUGGUGAGGUAAAGGCUCACCAAGGCGAUGAUACAUAGCCGACCUGAGAGGGUGAUCGGCCACAUUGGGACUGAGACACGGCCCAAACUCCUACGGGAGGCAGCAGUAGGGAAUCUUCGGCAAUGGACGAAAGUCUGACCGAGCAACGCCGCGUGAGUGAAGAAGGUUUUCGGAUCGUAAAACUCUGUUGGUAGAGAAGAACGUUGGUGAGAGUGGAAAGCUCAUCAAGUGACGGUAACUACCCAGAAAGGGACGGCUAACUACGUG
RNAcentral lists this ribosomal RNA (497 nucleotides) under uncultured bacterium. RNAcentral describes it as "partial 16S ribosomal RNA". It matches the Rfam family "Bacterial small subunit ribosomal RNA", at positions 28 to 507 of the family's 1533-position model. The record is from RNAcentral.